Molecule: unclassified non-coding RNA, 319 nt
Filed under: Coprinellus sp.
Lineage: Eukaryota; Fungi; Basidiomycota; Agaricomycetes; Agaricales; Psathyrellaceae
Description: partial internal transcribed spacer region
Rfam family: Eukaryotic small subunit ribosomal RNA (bases 1-46)
Source: RNAcentral
AAGUCGUAACAAGGUUUCCGUAGGUGAACCUGCGGAAGGAUCAUUAAUGAAUAACUUUGGCGUGGUUGUAGCUGGCUCUUAGGAGCAUGUGCACACCCGUCAUUUUUAUCUAUCCACCUGUGCACACUAUGUAGAUCUGGAUAACUCUCGCUCUUUGGAGCGGAAACAAGGAUUGCUGCGUCGCAAGGCCGGCCAGCUCUCUUUGAAUUUCCAGGUCUAUGUUUUAUUACAAACCCCAAUUGUAUGAUGUAGAAUGUUGUCAAUGGGCUCUGAGCCUAUAAAACAAAUACAACUUUCAGCAACGGAUCUCUUGGCUCUC